Molecule: ribosomal RNA, 368 nt
Filed under: uncultured bacterium
Lineage: Bacteria
Description: bacterial SSU rRNA
Rfam family: Bacterial small subunit ribosomal RNA
Source: RNAcentral
CAUGCAAGUCGAACGAACCUUCGGGUUAGUGGCGGACGGGUGAGUAACGCGUGAGAAUCUGCCCUCAGGAGGGGGACAACAGCUGGAAACGGCUGCUAAUACCCCAUAUGCCGCGAGGUGAAAUGAAUUUCGCCUGAGGAUGAGCUCGCGUCUGAUUAGCUAGUUGGUGAGGUAAUGGCUCACCAAGGCAUCGAUCAGUAGCUGGUCUGAGAGGAUGAUCAGCCACACUGGGACUGAGACACGGCCCAGACUCCUACGGGAGGCAGCAGUGGGGAAUUUUCCGCAAUGGGCGAAAGCCUGACGGAGCAACGCCGCGUGAGGGAUGAAGGCCUCUGGGCUGUAAACCUCUUUUAUCAAGGAAGAAGAUC